Molecule: long non-coding RNA, 743 nt
Organism: Pelmatolapia mariae (spotted tilapia)
Lineage: Eukaryota; Metazoa; Chordata; Actinopteri; Cichliformes; Cichlidae
Exons: 4
Source: RefSeq, a predicted model, not a curated record
CUGAAAAGAGAGCUGUUUAGAGGUGAGUGAUUAAGUUUUUCUCCUAAAUAGAGAUCAUUACAGAACGCCUAGUCCUACUUAAAAUACCAUUCAUUUUUCUUUUAUUUUAUCAUCUACUCGAACUGAGGAAAACGUUUGACUAACUCAAAGAAAAUUUCCGCGCCUCCCCUGCCUGUCUGCAGAGGCAGUUUUGAAUUCAGGAGCGGCAUGAUGGCAGCGGCAAACCCUGGCGGUUCUCCGGGUUCGUGGCAACCACGGAUGGGAAAAUGUGGAGGUUGCACGGCUGAUGUUUACUGUUCGUGGCACAGGAAGAGGCAGUUUCAUUUCAGGAAUGAGUGUGCACAAUCAAAGAAUAGAGCGACUGUGGAGAGACCUCUGGGUGGCCGUUACAUGCAUUUACUACGAUGUUCUUCACAACCCUGAGGAAGAAGGCCUUCUUGACAUUUCAAAUGUUGCACACCUCUUUUGCUGCCAUUACAUCUUUCUUCCUCGACUAGAGGAUAAUUUUAAUACAUUUUGCAGUGGAUGGGACAACCAUCCACUGCGAACAGAAAACAACAUGAGUCCCCCAACCAGCUGUGGGAGUUGGGUCACAGAUAUUACCCUGUUCCUGUUCCAGAAAACACACAGCUUAUCACACAUUUGAUUUCCAUGUGUGACGACUGCAAGUGUCCAGAGUGAGGACAGACUGAGGGACCCACUGCUGCACAUCAUCUGUGAGGCUUUGCACCCCUGAUGAUCCA